CUAGCGACUUCAGAGUUUGAUCCUGGCUCAGGAUAAACGCUGGCGGCGUGCAUAACACAUGCAAGUCGAACGAUGAAACUUAAAUGAUCUCUUCGGAGUGACUUUAAGUGGAUUAGUGGCGGACGGGUGAGUAACGCGUGAGUAACCUGCCUUGCACAAGGGGAUAGCCGUUGGAAACGACGAAUAAUACCCUAUGAUAUGAUAGUCUCGCAUGAAGCUAUCAUCAAAGAUUUAUCGGUGUAAGAUGGACUCGCGUCUGAUUAGCUAGUUGGUGGGGUAAAAGCUCACCAAGGCAACGAUCAGUAGCCGGCUUGAGAGAGUGUACGGCCACAUUGGGACUGAGACACGGCCCAG
RNAcentral lists this ribosomal RNA (354 nucleotides) under uncultured bacterium. RNAcentral's name for it is "bacterial SSU rRNA". It matches the Rfam family "Bacterial small subunit ribosomal RNA", at positions 1 to 334 of the family's 1533-position model. The record is from RNAcentral.